AAGUACGUGUGAAAAGCUGGUGGUUUGUCGCGUGCAUGUGUUUUUAUAACAUAGAGGGCAAAGACAGGAUACAAUAACCAAUGCACUAAAGCCUCAGCAAUGAGGAAAUACAACAUUUGAUGAUAGCGGCAGCAUUAUUUCUGGUAAGCCUGUGUGGUGUGAAACCCCAGUCUUGUGAAGUAAAGCUCAGCACAGCUCAGGUGCUUUCUGUUCAAAGAUAAAAGGGAUGUAUUGUAGCUGGCAGAUAGGUGAGAAUGUUUGUACUGCACAUCUGAACGGGAAAGGACUAUUUAUGUCUCGAUAGUCUUGUCACACACACACACAAAAAAAAUUUGGUUUUCGUUGUAAAGGUGUGCGAUGUAACUUUUCUGCAGGGAGCUCUGACACCUGCUUUAUCCAUGGAGACUCGUCAAAAUGUCAAGAAUGAUCCACUGCAGGUGAUGCCACCAGGCCAAAUUACAGGAGCACUGCACGGAAUGGGCCUCCAGGAUCAUGGAAGACCCCUCCCAUGCCACCCACCACUUGUUUGUCCCUCUGUCCUCUGGAGAAAACUGGGGAGCAUCAAAGCCACAAAAUCAAAUCACUUCAACAUCUGGGCUGAAGUCAAGUUUCUUUGCUGAGGCAGCCUGUCAGACUUUUGAAUAGUGCACUCUGACUUCCUACUUAGGCUGCCAAUCUUGCUAUAUGUUUUAUUGGUUGGCUUUUUAUUUAAUAUUCAUUAUUUAUUAUUGUUCUUAUCUCUUUAAUCAGACCUUGAAGAACAACUUUAGUUCUGUCACAUGUUUCAUUCACAUUUUUGAAUGACAGAUAAAGAACCUUGAACUUUGAACCCUGUAAAUCUUAAAAUGAAUUCCCCAGUCAAA
Boleophthalmus pectinirostris (great blue-spotted mudskipper) is the source of this 863-nucleotide long non-coding RNA. RefSeq lists it as uncharacterized. The transcript is spliced from 2 exons. Lineage: Eukaryota; Metazoa; Chordata; Actinopteri; Gobiiformes; Gobiidae. The record is from RefSeq and is a predicted model, not a curated record.